GACGAACGCUGGCGGCGCGCUUAACACAUGCAAGUCGAACGGAAAGGCCUGCUUUCCCUUGUGGAUUCCGGGUACUCGAGUGGCGAACGGGUGAGUAACACGUGCGUGAUCUGCCCCCAACUUGUGUAUAAGCCUGGGAAACUGGGGCUAAGUCGCGAUAGGUCCGCAGGGUGGGGCCUGAGGUGGCGACCGAUGGUCUAGUGGUUGGGGAUGAGCUCUCGGGCUAUCAGGUUGUUGGUGGGGUAAUGUUCUACCAGUGCGGCGCCGGGAAGGCGGACUGGGAGAGCCGGCGUGCACAGGUGAACUGAGACACGGCGCAGACGACAACGGGCGGCAGCAGUGGGGAGGCAGACGCGAGGGGCGGAAGACUAAGGCCGCGACGCCGCGUGAGGGAUGACGGCCGUCGGGUUGUAGACUCCUUUCGGCCGCGAGGAAGCCACCUGGAUGGAAGGGUGGUGACGGUAGUGGUAGAAGAAGCACCGGCUAACUACGUG
RNAcentral lists this ribosomal RNA (494 nucleotides) under uncultured bacterium. RNAcentral describes it as "partial 16S ribosomal RNA". It matches the Rfam family "Bacterial small subunit ribosomal RNA", at positions 28 to 507 of the family's 1533-position model. The record is from RNAcentral.